AGGGUUUGAUCCUGGCUCAGAUUGAACGCUAGCGGGAUGCCUUACACGUGCAAGUCGAACGGCAGCACGGACUUCGGUCUGGUGGCGAGUGGCGAACGGGUGAGUAAUGUAUCGGAACGUGCCCAGUAGCGGGGGAUAACUACGCGAAAGCGUAGCUAAUACCGCAUACGCCCUACGGGGGAAAGCAGGGGAUCGUAAGACCUUGCACUAUUGGAGCGGCCGAUAUCGGAUUAGCUAGUUGGUGGGGUAACGGCUCACCAAGGCGACGAUCCGUAGCUGGUUUGAGAGGACGACCAGCCACACUGGGACUGAGACACGGCCCAGACACCUACGGGAGGCAGCAGUGGGGAAUUUUGGACAAUGGGGGAAACCCUGAUCCAGCCAUCCCGCGUGUGCGAUGAAGGCCUUCGGGUUGUAAAGCACUUUUGGCAGGAAAGAAACGUCAUGGGUUAAUACCCCGUGAAACUGACGGUACCUGCAGAAUAAGCACCGGCUAACUACGUGCCAGCAGCCGCGGUAAUACGUAGGGUGCAAGCGUUAAUCGGAAUUACUGGGCGUAAAGCGUGCGCAGGCGGUUCGGAAAGAAAGAUGUGAAAUCCCAGAGCUUAACUUUGGAACUGCAUUUUUAACUACCGGGCUAGAGUGUGUCAGAGGGAGGUGGAAUUCCGCGUGUAGCAGUGAAAUGCGUAGAUAUGCGGAGGAACACCGAUGGCGAAGGCAGCCUCCUGGGAUAACACUGACGCUCAUGCACGAAAGCGUGGGGAGCAAACAGGAUUAGAUACCCUGGUAGUCCACGCCCUAAACGAUGUCAACUAGCUGUUGGGGCCUUCGGGCCUUGGUAGCGCAGCUAACGCGUGAAGUUG
This 863-nucleotide ribosomal RNA is filed under the name uncultured beta proteobacterium. Its description in RNAcentral is "bacterial SSU rRNA". It matches the Rfam family "Bacterial small subunit ribosomal RNA", at positions 8 to 867 of the family's 1533-position model. The record is from RNAcentral. Lineage: Bacteria; Pseudomonadati; Pseudomonadota; Betaproteobacteria.